This 2927-nucleotide ribosomal RNA is filed under the name Enterobacter cloacae. RNAcentral's name for it is "bacterial LSU rRNA". It matches the Rfam family "Bacterial large subunit ribosomal RNA". The record is from RNAcentral. Lineage: Bacteria; Pseudomonadati; Pseudomonadota; Gammaproteobacteria; Enterobacterales; Enterobacteriaceae. RNAcentral also lists the same sequence under 1 other name.
GGGUUGUGAGGUUAAGCGACUAAGCGUACACGGUGGAUGCCCUGGCAGUCAGAGGCGAUGAAGGACGUGCUAAUCUGCGAAAAGCGCCGGCGAGGUGAUAUGAACCUUUGACCCGGCGAUGUCCGAAUGGGGAAACCCAGUGUGUUCCGACACACUAUCGUUAACUGAAUACAUAGGUUAACGAGGCGAACCGGGGGAACUGAAACAUCUAAGUACCCCGAGGAAAAGAAAUCAACCGAGAUUCCCCCAGUAGCGGCGAGCGAACGGGGAGCAGCCCAGAGUCUGAAUCAGCUUGUGUGUUAGUGGAAGCGUCUGGAAAGUCGCACGGUACAGGGUGACAGUCCCGUACACGAAAGCACACAGGCUGUGAACUCGAAGAGUAGGGCGGGACACGUGGUAUCCUGUCUGAAUAUGGGGGGACCAUCCUCCAAGGCUAAAUACUCCUGACUGACCGAUAGUGAACCAGUACCGUGAGGGAAAGGCGAAAAGAACCCCGGCGAGGGGAGUGAAAAAGAACCUGAAACCGUGUACGUACAAGCAGUGGGAGCCUCUUUAUGGGGUGACUGCGUACCUUUUGUAUAAUGGGUCAGCGACUUAUAUUCUGUAGCAAGGUUAACCGUAUAGGGGAGCCGAAGGGAAACCGAGUCUUAACUGGGCGUUAAGUUGCAGGGUAUAGACCCGAAACCCGGUGAUCUAGCCAUGGGCAGGUUGAAGGUUGGGUAACACUAACUGGAGGACCGAACCGACUAAUGUUGAAAAAUUAGCGGAUGACUUGUGGCUGGGGGUGAAAGGCCAAUCAAACCGGGAGAUAGCUGGUUCUCCCCGAAAGCUAUUUAGGUAGCGCCUCGUGAACUCAUCUUCGGGGGUAGAGCACUGUUUCGGCUAGGGGGCCAUCCCGGCUUACCAACCCGAUGCAAACUACGAAUACCGAAGAAUGUUAUCACGGGAGACACACGGCGGGUGCUAACGUCCGUCGUGAAGAGGGAAACAACCCAGACCGCCAGCUAAGGUCCCAAAGUCAUGGUUAAGUGGGAAACGAUGUGGGAAGGCACAGACAGCCAGGAUGUUGGCUUAGAAGCAGCCAUCAUUUAAAGAAAGCGUAAUAGCUCACUGGUCGAGUCGGCCUGCGCGGAAGAUGUAACGGGGCUAAACCAUGCACCGAAGCUGCGGCAGCGACGCUUAUGCGUUGUUGGGUAGGGGAGCGUUCUGUAAGCCGUUGAAGGUGUCCUGUGAGGGGUGCUGGAGGUAUCAGAAGUGCGAAUGCUGACAUAAGUAACGAUAAAGCGGGUGAAAAGCCCGCUCGCCGGAAGACCAAGGGUUCCUGUCCAACGUUAAUCGGGGCAGGGUGAGUCGACCCCUAAGGCGAGGCCGAAAGGCGUAGUCGAUGGGAAACAGGUUAAUAUUCCUGUACUUGGUGUUACUGCGAAGGGGGGACGGAGAAGGCUAUGUUAGCCGGGCGACGGUUGUCCCGGUUUAAGCAUGUAGGCGGAGGUUCCAGGUAAAUCCGGUUCCUUGUUAACGCUGAGGUGUGAUGACGAGGCACUACGGUGCUGAAGUAACAAAUGCCCUGCUUCCAGGAAAAGCCUCUAAGCAUCAGGUAACACGAAAUCGUACCCCAAACCGACACAGGUGGUCAGGUAGAGAAUACCAAGGCGCUUGAGAGAACUCGGGUGAAGGAACUAGGCAAAAUGGUGCCGUAACUUCGGGAGAAGGCACGCUGAUAUGUAGGUGAAGCCCCUGCGGGUGGAGCUGAAAUCAGUCGAAGAUACCAGCUGGCUGCAACUGUUUAUUAAAAACACAGCACUGUGCAAACACGAAAGUGGACGUAUACGGUGUGACGCCUGCCCGGUGCCGGAAGGUUAAUUGAUGGGGUUAGCGGUAACGCGAAGCUCUUGAUCGAAGCCCCGGUAAACGGCGGCCGUAACUAUAACGGUCCUAAGGUAGCGAAAUUCCUUGUCGGGUAAGUUCCGACCUGCACGAAUGGCGUAAUGAUGGCCAGGCUGUCUCCACCCGAGACUCAGUGAAAUUGAACUCGCUGUGAAGAUGCAGUGUACCCGCGGCAAGACGGAAAGACCCCGUGAACCUUUACUAUAGCUUGACACUGAACACUGGUCCUUGAUGUGUAGGAUAGGUGGGAGGCUUUGAAGCGUGGACGCCAGUCUGCGUGGAGCCAACCUUGAAAUACCACCCUUUAAUGGCUGGUGUUCUAACGUAGACCCGUAAUCCGGGUUGCGGACAGUGUCUGGUGGGUAGUUUGACUGGGGCGGUCUCCUCCCAAAGAGUAACGGAGGAGCACGAAGGUUAGCUAAUCCUGGUCGGACAUCAGGAGGUUAGUGCAAUGGCAUAAGCUAGCUUGACUGCGAGAGUGACGGCUCGAGCAGGUGCGAAAGCAGGUCAUAGUGAUCCGGUGGUUCUGAAUGGAAGGGCCAUCGCUCAACGGAUAAAAGGUACUCCGGGGAUAACAGGCUGAUACCGCCCAAGAGUUCAUAUCGACGGCGGUGUUUGGCACCUCGAUGUCGGCUCAUCACAUCCUGGGGCUGAAGUAGGUCCCAAGGGUAUGGCUGUUCGCCAUUUAAAGUGGUACGCGAGCUGGGUUUAGAACGUCGUGAGACAGUUCGGUCCCUAUCUGCCGUGGGCGCUGGAGAAUUGAGGGGGGCUGCUCCUAGUACGAGAGGACCGGAGUGGACGCAUCACUGGUGUUCGGGUUGUCAUGCCAAUGGCACUGCCCGGUAGCUAAAUGCGGAAGAGAUAAGUGCUGAAAGCAUCUAAGCACGAAACUUGCCCCGAGAUGAGUUCUCCCUGAGACUUUAAGUCUCCUGAAGGAACGUUGAAGACUACGACGUUGAUAGGUCGGGUGUGUAAGCGCAGCGAUGCGUUGAGCUAACCGAUACUAAUGAACCGUGAGGCUUAACCUUACAACGCCGAAG